RNAcentral lists this ribosomal RNA (507 nucleotides) under uncultured bacterium. RNAcentral's name for it is "bacterial SSU rRNA". It matches the Rfam family "Bacterial small subunit ribosomal RNA", at positions 8 to 508 of the family's 1533-position model. The record is from RNAcentral.
AGAGUUUGAUCCUGGCUCAGGAUGAACGCUAGCGGCAGGCCUAACACAUGCUAGUCGAGGGGCAGCACGAUUGAGCUUGCUUAAUUGGUGGCGACCGGCGCACGGGUGCGUAACGCGUAUGCAACCUACCUUAUACUGGGGUAUAGCCCGGAGAAAUUCGGAUUAAUCCCCCAUAGCAUUAUCGAUUCGCAUGUUUUGAUAAUUAAAGGUUACGGUAUAAGAUGGGCAUGCGUCCCAUUAGCUAGAUGGUGAGGUAACGGCUCACCAUGGCGACGAUGGGUAGGGGGCCUGAGAGGGUGGUCCCCCACACUGGUACUGAGACACGGACCAGACUCCUACGGGAGGCAGCAGUGAGGAAUAUUGGUCAAUGGGCGCAAGCCUGAACCAGCCAUGCCGCGUGCAGGAAGACGGUCCUAUGGAUUGUAAACUGCUUUUAUUCGGGAAUAAACCUCUUUACGUGUAGAGAGCUGAAGGUACCGAAUGAAUAAGCACCGGCUAACUCCGUGC